Long non-coding RNA from Monomorium pharaonis (pharaoh ant), 18452 nucleotides. RefSeq lists it as uncharacterized. The transcript has 3 exons. Lineage: Eukaryota; Metazoa; Arthropoda; Insecta; Hymenoptera; Formicidae. The record is from RefSeq and is a predicted model, not a curated record.
AAUAGCGGCGGCAACCCUUCUAGGAUAAAUAGCCCGUGCGAAAAGAGAUUAAUAGAGCGACCCGAAAAAAUUCCUUCGAAUACUUUCGUGUAUAUCUUUUGACGUUAUUAAACUUACGAGCUCGACAAAACGUUUCGCAAAUAACAUCGCCCUUUCGUUUACAAAGGGUUACGUGAAACGACCGUCGAGAAUUCUUUGAAACAUGUUUUGACAUCGACAGUCCUACCGACUUCGAAAGAAACAUGUACAUUAUCGUUUUAUUAUAUACAUACAUUAUAAUCGUUUGUAUAAGUCAAGAUGGAAAAGUUAUAUGAUCACACUUACGGAAUAAUCGAGACAGACGUAGAUAUGAAGAUUAAUUGUUCAAAAAGUAACGUCCUACAAUUACUUUUAUUGAGAACUGUUUGCUCUCCAGAUAAAUAAAAUUCACAAUGGCGCACGUUUCAGCUACAUAUUUUUUUUUUUUUUUUUUUUUUUUUACAAAGUCUCCGUUUAAUUGCUUGUGUCAUCGCGGUACGAGAGCACGUAUGCCAUCCCUGUAUCCUAUCUAGUUCCCGUAGCCACUCUUGACAGUCCUAACAACGCCUUCUUCAAAUCUUCAUCUUCAUCUUCAAACUUUCAUCCUCAAACCUUGUUCCGCGCGAACAAGGGUUGAAGACGACAAAAGCGUUGUUGGGGCUGUCAAGAGAUGGCUGCGGGAACAAGAUAGGACUUGGCACAGAGAUGGCAUACGUGCCCUCGUUCAACGACGGCGCAAGGCCAUAGACCUAAACAGAGAAUUCGUAAAAAUAACACAUGUAGCUAAAACAUAUCUAAAUUUAUAAAAUGUCUAAAAUCAAUUAGAAAAUAUAUAUAGAUAUUGAAUAUAAUAUACACUAGUUGAGUGUAAUAUUAUGAAUUUAAUUAAUGAUCGAGUACGUACAUCGUUAUUCCUGGUGGUCGACAACCAGCGGAGUAAUGAUGCACCUCGAAUCGUACAAAGUCGUUUAAAAAUUAUGGUCUUCGCGGGAAACAUGCGCAGGGAGAAGGUAGAGUGAACGCAAAACCGAGUGAGAGUAUUCGCGAAGCGAAAGUAAGCACUCUCAUUUCAUUCAGACGGCAAAUUAAACAUCAGAAGAAUCAUCGCGACUUUAAACAUAUAAUAGCGCGUUUCGUUAUGACGCAGGUAAUUGGCAAGAAUAAAGUCUUGUCUGCGUAAAUGCAUACAUAAACUACUUAAUUGCGAACACAUAGCUAUGCAUUUUAGAUAACGUAAACGUGUGUUUUUCUUCAUGUGGCAAAACAGAUAUCGCAAGAGUCUGACAAGCCUAAUAAUCGCUAUGGCACAUCUCAUUAAAGUUAGAUGCUAUGCAAACUAUUACAAAUUUAUUAUAGACAAUAUAAUGGUGGAUAAGGCAUAUGAAUUGUAAAUUUUAUACACGUGCACGUGCAAACGUGCGGGUAAACUGUUCGGACGCGACGCACAUGCAAUAUAAUAACGAACAACACAAUUAAUUCCUAUUAGAUCAAUUGAACCAAGAUGCAUCCGCAAUGCUUGUUGAUCAUAAAGAAAGGUAGCCUUAACGAGAAAUAAUAGACGAUCACGUGUUACAAUAACGCAACAAUGAUCUUAAUCAACCUUUAUUACCCGUGAAUGUGUGUACCAUUCAAGAGGAGUGCUUGAAAAAGAUGUCUGAGGUUAUUAGUACUAGUUAUGAGUAUAUAUGUACGAAACAUUAUAAAUAACACAUUAAAUAACACAAGUAUAAUGUUAAUAACGCUAUUUUAUAUUGUACUUUCCGUGUGUCUCCACUUUUCGAAAUAAAUAUAUAAUGUAUCGUAAUGGUAGGUAGAGCAUCACAAAAAGAUAAAAAAUGUUUACGCAGAAUGCCCAGACUUUCUUUUAUCUUUAAAUAAUUUGCCUGCUAAAAGGCUUGGCGAAUUCCUAACGCGACGCCGAAGACCACACUCAGGUCGGUGUAAAAAAAGAAAAAUGUGCACAUAAAGCAAUUCUAGCAGGAACAGACAUAAACAACACGCAUAAAAAACCGACACGCUUUAUAAAUAUUCGGACCUUUUUAACGUCUCGUUUAAUUCCAACACUGCGCAGACAAGAGACACUGCAAACAGAAUGCAACAAAACGCUUCUAUUUCUUUUCCUUUAUUUCCCACAAUUAUCUUGAUACGUCACGUUACAGAACGUGUUAUUUAAUUUAUCGCAUACGUAUGACGCAACUCGUGCUUACGGGCGCGCAUGCAGUUUAAACAUUAAUGAUAUCCCAUUGCAUCUAUCAGGAACUCGGCUCUCAAUUGGUUUGAAGUAUUCGUAGACGUGCAUUUUCACAUUUCCGUGACGUAAGUAUAUUUAUUUAUGAUUCUCGGAUGAAUAUCUCUUUCUCAAAUUUUCUCGGAUAACCUAUCGCGCGCGAGCUAGAUAUUUAUAGAUAUGUUUCUAAAAAUCUGCCGAAUAUAUUGGACGCAUCCGAAUGUGCUGCACUCGCGCUGACAAAUCUCACCACAUCGUCGCGCGGCAUUAUUGUCACCGCGACAUGCGUUACCCGCACCCGCGCAACCCCGGCGUACUCGUAUCUCGAUUCGGUAAAUAUUUGUAAAGUCAAUGCACCGUUCUUAGCCGUUCUUUAAGUAAGAACGUUUACCGCAACGAGAAAAUAUCACCGCUGCAAUAACAUCCCUCUUUUUCUCUUUUUCUUCCUCCCUCAGAAGAAGAGAUCUCUGAAAAGAUUGCCGGUCAUUUUUAACGGCAGCGCGAUGCGGAACAUCUACCAAAACCCGUGGUGGCCGUGGACGGUCAACCACGAUUUUUACGUUAUUUGUGGCGACUCGACGUGUCCUCGACCCUUUUUUUUUUUUUUAUUAGACGCAGCUAAAAAAUUUUCGCGGCUUUCGCGGCGAUUAUUCUACACAAGGCUGACGACGCUAAGGCACGAAGUAUAAAAAUAACGCGGUCGAAGAUUACGGGACAAAAAGCGUUAGCAGGCUCUCGACACGGCGCGUCGGUUUGGUUCGACUCGUAAAUCUUGCCCGGGCGGCUUCGUCGCGACACCGGGCAUCGCGGGCGUAACGCCGCGAGGCAUUUAAAACGGUGCAAUUAGCCGAUGAGCGCGGAGAGUGUGCCGGUUACUUUAUAAUCAUUAACGUCAAAUAUUCCCCGGUCGAGCCGGGGGGCGCGCAACGCCAGCUGAAGCGACAAGAAACGCCCGCUUGGGCAACGUACACGCGAGAUUAACGCGCGGAAAGUCCCCCGGCCUUGCAUCCCCGGGGCUCUCGCGCGCCGUACGUACCCCCUUCUUAAUAUAUCGCUCGUCCACGACUUCGGGGGGAGCGACUCCCGCGUGCACGCACCAGAGACGCCAGAGACGCAUCGCGCCGCGACGCUGAUGGAUUUAUCGCGGAAAAAAUACGACCGUGUUCUCAUGCGCCGCGCCUCGCUGAAACGCGCCAGGCUUUUGUUACUCCUCGACAGCAGCGGAGCGAGGCUCGCAGAGAGUGGUGAAAGCUUUAUUUGGAAAUAUAUUCGAGGGGGAUUUGUGAGCAAGAGAGUGGGAGUCAUAAAAAUCGCGGAAAUUCCGUUUUUCAAAUGUCACUUCACUCGCAGCGACAGCAAAUACUUUAAUGGCUCGACACACCAAUCUUCGAUACCUUGAAUGCGGCACCUCCACGAACGCAGAGAGUUAAUGGAUAUUUGUGCCGAACGCGUGCUGGGUAUGCUAUAUACGUUAGAUUUGGAAAUCCUUCUCCAGAAUAAAAGAAUACGCAUUGCUACCAGUCUGUGGAGUGGAGUUUCUACCAAAAACGGGAAAAAAAAGGCCAGACUGAUAGAGAGAUGCAGCGGCAUAACGAAGUCAAAGCGUACAGGUACAGAUAUAUAGAGCACGCAUUGCAUAUUUAAUGACUAUCAUAAUGCUAACGAGUACAAGGAGCCUCAGAUAUGCAAAUUUCGGCAAAAGUCCCGAAUAGAUUUCCUAUAUCAUCACGCAGCAGGAGCAAUAACACACACGACGGCGAAACUAUCACGAUAUCGUCGGGACAAAUUAGGAAAUAAGAAAAUAGCUGUCGGGGACAUAUAUUAUUAUAUUCGUUGGCGUAAAUAUCGGCGAAUAUGGCCCGGCUUAAAAUAUAUCUGCAAUUUUCUGCGCUGCAACGCGAGCUCUCUCCGUCGGAAACGAAUUCCGUGAAGUAGGACCGACGAAGCGGACAAUACCAACUAUUUGGUCCCAUUCCGCGGAAGUAGAUCCAAUUUUUGCCCGCAAUUUCGGAAUCGGAUAAAACACCGAUAUUCGAGGCACGCCGCAUUAUUGUCUAUCCCGUUCCGGGCUCUCCUCCUCAUCGGCGGCGUCCAAGAGGCGCAUUUGGCAAGCGCCAUUGUGGAGAACGAGUCGCGCGCGGCUGAAAAUUCUCCCCGUUGACGGCAGCCCCCGCCAGGUAACGCGUAUCCGCUCGAUUAUUCGAAUCCCUCAUGAAUAAUACAGGCGCCCCCGCGAGCGCGCCAAUCGUAUCUGCAAUUACUAUCGAACGAAUCGAUUAACGUCCCACCACGGUGAUGCAUCGCGGAAUGGCCAUUGAUUAUGGCCUUUUACGGCGUGUUUACGGAUUGUACUUGACUCAGGCGGGUGGAAUAUCGCCGUGAGAUCGUCAGAUACGCCGUGCGUACGCACGAUGUCCACCUCCUAGGUCCUAGACCGUCGGCGACACGACGUCCUCGCGGGUAGACGCCCUGGGAUGUACGUGGAGGGCGUCGUUAUGCCGCCACGGCGAAAUUGCGGUCGAGAGCGGUCGGGGUGAACGGUCGCGAUAGAGCUCUCCUUAAAAGCGUGCCACGGCAUCCAGUUAGCCAAAGCGUUCUUGAGAUAUUCGCUUCAAGCACCUGUGUAUAUUGUAACUUAUUACAGGGAUUGGGAUAUGCACGAGAUCAGGCCGCGUCAUAUCCAAGAUUAGGCACUGACAAAGACUUUGACUUGAAUAACUGAUAAUUGAAAAGACGCAACGAUGAACAAGUUUGGAGAAAAAAAAAAAAAAACUUUUUCUUUGUACUCGACACUCGCUGAUUCGUGGUGUUCUAUACGUACUGCCAGCGUUUUAGAGAGAGGUUGCCAAAUACAUUCCUCCAACUCUCUAUCUCUACAUUUCUAUCUCUCCACUGAAAAGCCCUCAUUUCUAUACCAUCAUAAAUCUGUGCGUAGAUAUUGCCUGAUAUAAUGAUCAUAAUAAUGAAGCAAUCUAUUCAUCGAUUAUUCUAUCUAAGUACGUAAUAUCCUUUAAAAAGCGACUAUCUUCAUCGAGGAACCUCGUAAAUGUUCAACCACGUUACCGAAGCGGAAAUAUAAAAGAGAAUUAAUCGAGUCGGGCGGCGCCACUAAUAGUUGUUUAUGAAGCCGAGGUCGGCUUCAAUUUAAGUUUCAGAAAGUUCCUCUCUUGUGUGCGCGCGUAUCAAGGUCGCUACAAUCCUUAAAGGCAGUUAUUUCGUAAGGAGGUAGGAUUAAUGUUUCCCAAUGCCGAUGCUUCCUGCAUUGGAAGUGCUUCCUCACAUACAUCGUGACAGUUACAAAAUAAACACAUUUAAAGCCAACAAGCUCUGAUCGAAUUUAAAUCAACGAAGUGAUUACUUUUGUAAGAAAAUAAAAUCCUUAUUUAUAAUACGUGUACGUAAAAUCACGCGCGCAAGAGAGACAGAGAGAGAUAUAAACUUUUAACUUCUCAGCCUUGAAUACUUUUCACAUAAAUUGGAAAUUUUUAAAUUUCCGCGGCAUCAAAUAAUAUAACUUUAUACAACUUCUGUCCACAAAGUCGAUACUCCAUCAAAGUGUACAUAAUUUUUAUAUAAAGGGUGUGAGUCUUUCAGCAUAGCAAGCCACAAAUUUCCGUCCGAUGUAUACCGUCGUAAAAAUGUAAAGCAGCGCGUUAUACAUUUACUCGUUUACUUCGUUCACGGCAAAAUCGGAAGGAUUAAAUUACAUUAAACGCUCUUCAGGCGGUCGAAGCUGAAAUUCGAUCGAAUAUCACACUUUGAUUCAGGCGGUUCUUUCCACAGAUAGGUAGGUAAUCGUCCACGUCAGGUCGAUCCACGGUAAGACGCAACACCCUCAAAUUACCCCGUGAGCAACACGACCUGCCCCGUGCCGGAUGCUGUCAUUCAAUCGGCCGCUUCGACGGAUAAUGCCCCGGUGGAUUUAACCGUCCGUGUUCCUAGCUGGUCUUUCGCAGCGGUGCGCAACACGAGGCCCGCGGACCGAAGGGCCCCCUCGGUGUUUCACCUGAUAAUAAUAUGCCCGCGCCUUCUAAUUUUCUACUUAAAUUUGCAAAAUUACACCGAUUACUUUUAAUAUUUCAAUACAAGCGGUACUCUAAUAAAUUAUAUGAAAUAUGAUAUAUAAAAUAAAGGUAUACAAAAUAAUAUAUCUAUGUAGAAGCAAGACAUUUUAUUUCUUCCAUUUUAUUACUACUAUUAUUUCCUCUCUUACCGUUAUAUCGUUUACCGAACAAAAAUUGUAAUAAUUUUUAUUAAUUUUAAACUGCUUAACGCUCAUAGAAUCUUACGUUGUAAACAAUUCUAUCUUUCGCGAAGCUGUUGCAGAUCAAAGAUGAUAUUGCGAAUAAUGUGCGAUUAAAUUUAAUUUAAACUGAAUAUGGCAUACUUCGAUAUUUGAGUUGCGCACCUCUGAGCUAACCCAAAGCUCGCCUCGCGAGAUCACGAGAGUGAAUCGAUGGCGAGACCGACGAGGAAGCUGGCCACGAUGUAAAUCCGCUAAGUGCAGCGCCGCUGGCCAUGUCACACUCGCUUAACUCCGACAGAACGAGCACGCUCGUUAAAGCCCAGCUUUACUAAAGAGCCCUCCCACGGAUGAUCGAUAUUUACCAUCAAUAUCGCAAUAUUGUGGGUAGAAGUACCGAAUUGUUAGUACAAAAAAAAAUUAUUUUUUUUUUUUUAAUGGAUAUUUCUCGACCUUACUAAGAUUUUUCAAAUUUUUAUGUAAAAAAUUCUUUACACUCGAACUAUAUUAGAGCGAAAACUAAUCGACUUUUAUCAUAAACCAUAUUAAUUUUGUAACUUUAUAAUGAUGUAUAUUAAUAGAGUAAUAUAAAGAUUUUUUAUAUUACUCUAUUAAUAAAAAAAUACAUCAUUAUAUUAAUAGAUCGGUAAAAAAAACGCAAGAAAAUAUUGCUAAUAAACAAAACACCAGUAAAUCUUAUAAGAAUCGCUUUGUGCUCACUGGUGAUUUUAGUUGCAUCGAAACAUCGAUACAGUCAAAGGGUCCAUUAACGCAGAGUUGGCGAAUUGUUCUCGCCGGUUGCGACCGCAAAUCAUUUCGCGGGGACAGUUAUCGAGAAGAAAUGCGCCAUUUUUCCCACGAGAAAUGGAAUAAGGGCGCCAAUCUAGACCAGUAAGUCUAAGUUCCGACAUCAGUGUUCCCUCGAAAGUGCGGUCAAAGUGGUCGCGCUUGAUAAAAAUUAAUGGGCCCACGGCUCACAAAGCUCAGGCCUCUAGGUGAGAGAGUUGCUUGUGAGCUGCAGCAACGCAGAACAAACGCGAUUCCCAACACAUAUAAUGGCGCAUAAAAUUCAAAAGCGCGCCGAGAGGAGCGAGCGAGCAAGCAAGCAAACAAGCAAGCAAGCAAGCAAGCAAGCAAGCAGGUCGGGACGUGAAAGAGAGGAACCCUAUUGAAUUUAUAGAAGUCAUCGUUGUGCGCGGAUCUUUAGAACGACGUCCCCCUCCUCCCCCCCUUCCCGUUUCUCUUUUCGCGAUUCCCUCUUCUUCUUUCUUUUCCUGCCUUACACCCCUUCCCCGGUCGCGGCAUCUCAAGAAUUCAUAUAAAUCUGAGAAGUUCUCCUCGAGAGUCUCGUCGGGAAGAAGCAACGAUGCAUGAAUAAUGCAGGUGGCGCGUACGUGUUACCACUGUAUUUUAUUACGGCCUCGCCGAUCGCAAACGGGCUAUUUCUCAAUUAACGAGAAUCGGUCGAGGUAUCGGUCGGGUCCCCGGUCCUAUGCCAAUUACAGCAAAAGGAGCUUCGGUCUCGCGGCCAUACGCUUUAAUUGAAGCAACGAUUAAAUUGGUGAUUCCACCGUGGUGGUUCGUUCCCACACUGCGAAAAAUGGGGCGAUGCGUCUCGAUGCGAUGCGAUGCCAAUGCGGUACGAUGCGAUGCGAUGCGAUGCGAUGCGAUGCGAUGCGAUGCGAUGCGACGCAUACGAUGGCUCUGAUCAAACGGUGUCGUCGAGCGAAAAAUUUGCGGGCGAAAGACUUCAAAGCGAGGUUUGGCCGACGCAGUCAAAUCAUUCCGGACGGUGCAAGGCGAGCGCACGAGGGGGAAAACGUCAAACGUCCAAAUUUCACAUGGCGCCACGCUUGUGUUACGUCCUUUCAUUUGACCCCAGAACCUAUUCGUUAACACACCGACCUGCCUGUGUACAUCCGAUGCAAAAUUUUUGUUGGAUUUAUUGGCGCCGCGUGUUCGAUUAGAAUCUCUUUCAAAAGCCGCCAUUUCGUCCGGUCGCUCAUUCGAGCGUUAGUCUUAAGCCUGUGAUCGAGCUUUUUUAAAGAGCCAGAGACAAUUGAAGAGUUGAAAGAGAAUUAUCAAAAGAGCUAAAUGCCCUCCUCACGCUUGUUGGACGCUACUACCUCCAGUAUCUAAAUUUUGAAAUAAAAAAAUUAUAAAAAGCUCAUGUUAUAGGUCUGAAAAUUUUUAGUUUUUUAUAACUUUAAUUAGCUAUAUUAAAACCUUUAUUACUUCAUCGGGUUUUUUCAUAAAUAUAAUUAUAUAAUAUAAUUUUAUCUAAAAAAAAAAAAAAAAAAAAAAAAAAAACAGAGAGAAAAAUUCUUUUUACGAAAAAAUAUUGAAUGGAAAAUAAAUGCACUCAUCCAAUUGGUAUAUACGCGCACAUGUAGAGGUGCAUAACGUAUAGAGUCGAUCCUGCAAAGUUCUCGAUACUCGAUACUACGGAUGCUUUUUCGCAAUUGUGUAAUUAUUUAAUCGAUUAGUUUUUUCAUUAAUCUAAUUCUAAACAAAUUAUAUACAAUUGUAGCUUAAAAUAUUCUUCAAUUUUAUCUCACGCAUAUUCAUAACCUUGGACUCUGCGCACGUUUAUAUAAAAUCAGUUAUAUUUUCAGCUACGCAUAUCAGGAACGCCGCGCCAUUGUACAGUUUUAUUUCGUAAAGAAUUUUACUGAAAAAAACCGCAUUCAAUUACGAAAAUAAUAAUUGCGCGCGCGUUUGUACUUCCCCCGCUAAUUCCCAGGGAUCAAGUAUCCUCGCCUGCUUAAUCUCGAAUUAAUUACCUCGAACGGGCAUUCAUCGCUAGCGAACUAUCGCCGCCGGACGGCGUGCAAAUAAAUUUGACUUCCGACAUUAAAUGCGUAUUGUCUGGUGCGAGCGCGGAAGAGGAUGGUGGAUAUAUCUGCAUUUAAAACUGGAACGAUCUCGAAAUUGCCAUGACGACGGAAACACACCACCGGGAAGCCUUUCAACGGUGAAUGUUUUGCAAGCACUUGAGAAACCAAUCAGCUACCGCCGCCGCCGCCGCCGCCGCCGCCGCCGUCGCUCUCUCCCUUUGCUUCGCCGUUCUGGACGGGCACCAAUCUUCUGAUCUCGGUUAGCAAAUUUACGACACAGCCGAGUUGGUGCGUUCCUCGUCGAGCGCUGGUUUCUGCUCGCGCUAAAGUGAGCCGUACUUAAUUAAUCCAACAUGCGCCCAGCUUCUCCAACUCUCCACCCGUUUCUUGCCCUCUCACUCUUCCGCUCUCUUCCUAUCUCCCCCGCCCCCCCUCUCGUUGUUGAACCUUCAUUACAAAAUUAUUCAUUGAUUUAGGAUAGUCGACAGCAGGUAUGCAGCGUUAAGAGGAACGCUGACAUAAAUCAAUAAAGAUUAUAUCUUGAUGUAAUAUUAGAGUGUUAUUGUUUUCCUAACAACUCUAAAACAUUUAAAGAAUUAUUACUAAUACAUCAUGUAUGUCAAUCAUAAAUAUUAACUUUCGAGUAUCAUGUAUUGUGCAUGUUGUGUGCACACGUUUAUUCUAAUUAAUGUACAUCACUUAUCCAUUGUACAUCUAAUAAAUAUUGAUAUGAAUAAAGAAGUGAGGAAAUUAAUUUUUUCGCUGUCGUUUAACGAUUAUUUCGCUCGGUUUUUUUUUUCUUUUUACUCAUACACAUAUUCGCCCGCUUAUUUCAUUUCUCAAAAUCUUGCGAUCACCUUUCUGUUUGCUUAAAAUAUCAAGCUAUUGUUUAUUCAUUACAGUAGCAUGCGAAUUCGAACAAUUGAUUCGCGUGUUACGGACUCGUGAGCUCGCCAUUGAAAAAUAAAUACAUUCGAUACACGAGGGACAAGAUCUCAUGAAACAUGCACGUCCACAGGUGCAUUUCUAUUUUUCUACAUCGACACAUGAAAUAAAGAUAAAGCACGUUCUCACGUUCAAGGUAUUUUUUUCGUACUUUUGAAUACACCAGUGAGCAAGCAGUAGCUAUUUGGAAUCAAGAUACGAUUAAUUAUAAAUAUAAUAACACUUAUAAGUAUUAAAAAUAAAAAUAAACGGCCUCUUAACAACAUACUAAAUUCGUAUAUUUUAAAAUGUACUCUUGGGUAAAAUCAAUGUGACAACAGAGUCUGAUUUACAGUUGAAGCUGAACAAUUUAGAGACUCGAAGAUCCAGGUUUAAAAAGUUUAUAAAUAAUUUAUCUUCAAAAUUUAAAUAUUUUAAAUAUAUUAUCAUUUGGUAGAAAGGAAGUGGUGUGGAGAAAGAAUAUUAUUUAUAUUAUAGUAAGCCGCACCAGUUCGAAUUUGUCUCCGGGGUAUUUUAUAAAACGUUGAUAAAUGUAACAUUCGCAAAAAGCACUACGAAAUUCUACUUGCGUUAUAUUUUAUUUCUCAACGCUUAUAUCCUACUUUAAUAUUUCAUUUGCAUUUCGCUUCUCGUAACGCAUUUGCCCUCGAUCUACAAGCAUUCGUUGAACCGGUAAUCGCACAGAUUGGCGUUGAUUCAAUCAAAGACACGUAUAUAUGCGGAACAAUGCUUACCAGUCAAAUCAUACUUGCCGGCGUUGAAUCUAGAUUUCCGUAAUUCGAUUAACCAAUCAGAGAAAGAGAAAGAGAGAGAGAGAGAGGGAGAGAGAGAGAAAGAGAGAGCCGAUUGUAAUAGAAGCACGACGGUGCGAUAAUGUUUACGAAUCGCGUUUCACGGUGAAGAGGAGCAGCCCUAUCGAUUUCCGGGGGUAGAUUCGUUCCCUUCUUAUUAAGUAUUCGCGAUAAGCUAUCGCUCCGCAAAAUGGUUCACGGUCGCACAGAUUGACCUACCGUUUCGCCGAUCUGGCACAGUCGGCGGAAAAUUGACAAUAUAAAUUCAAUUAUCGUCAUAACGGACUCUAAGUGGAGUAAAUCGAUAAGCCGGCAGCCAGGUGGCCGGGACAUUCGCGCGGAAAAUCUUUUUAUUUUCACGGUUUUAUAUCCGGUGCGCGCCCACGAUGACGUAACCGAGACCGUAACGAUCGUUCCUAUUUCUACCCGUUCCUAUCCGACGAGUCCGCGAUGGCUUUCUGAAAAAGAGUUAUAACUCGAAAUAUUCAGAUGCAUCAAUAGCUUUUCAGCUAUAUACAGGCAAAAAGAGGAUUACAAUGCAAUUUAUUUCCCAUGUACAUUCAACAAAAUGCAAAUGCGCCGCAUUCAUACGGAUUUUAUUAUCGUAUUAUAUGACUUUCGUAUACAGUUGAAACAUCACAUGUGAACGUACCUUAUCGCAUCGAUUUGUCAAAUAAAGCGUUAUUCGAAACCGUUUUUUAGCUAGAAAACCCAAUGAUAACUUAAAAAAUCAUUCUUUUUGCGUUGCAAUUCUAUUGUACGAACUGCCGAACUGUCAGUCCUCUUUUCACUUUUUUUUUCUUCUCCAAUACGACAAAUUAAAUUCGGAAACGAAUUGCAAUACGGAUGGAACGAUGGAGAGAGAGAGAGAGAGAGAGAGAGGGGGAGGGGGAGGAGGGAUAAAAAGGGAAAAGAAGUGAGAGAGAAAGAGAGAAAGAGAGAGAGUGAGUGAGUGAGUGAGAGAGAGAAGGAAGCAGGGGAGCAUAAUUUCGUUUGCACGGUGAUGGUAAAGAAUGGCAGAACCUGCUGCAUGCAAUUGCGUAGACUGGUUUAUCGAUUGGUCGAACGAAAUUCACGUCGCCAGGCCGGAAGCCACGCAUAAAUCGGGUUUAUACCGACAGUAAAAUCCCACUUGCGUAUAUCAAAGUAACAGAGUAACACGAUAAAAUUGGGGCCGGUAUAAACUGCCGCUGAUAUGGAAUCGACGUCAUUAAAUCACCAGAUUUGCUAGAUUGGCAGUGAAUUACUUUAUUUUUAACCAUUAAACGCCGGAACCGCGGGGAUAAAACGAGGAUUUUACCCGAGCGCGGUUUCACUCCGCUAACUAUACACCGCCCGCGGGUGUCUCGCAUCGAUAGUGAUGAAAAUAAAUCGCAUCGGCGUUAUCUACUUCCGAUACAUCGCGUCGGUGAUCCCGAAAACGUGUUUUGCGCGUGCCCUUUGGCAGUAAUUUCAUUCGCGUACAAACGCGCGCGCUGAUAUUUCCGCAUCUAGUUUGAUUAAGGUAAUCGCAAUAAAUUGUCAAAUAGCAAAACGCAAUACGGGACCCCCCUAUAAUGCGGAUAUAUAUGGCCUGUUAAACAGAUUGCGGCGGUAGUUACUUGGUUCGAUCGCGUUAUCUAAAUCAACCGUGAUAAUAAAGUCUCGUAAAGUACCGGCGCCAUAUAUCGGCUAAACGGUAAUAGUGUGUGCGACUCGCGGACUAGACUUUGCAUCCCCCGGGCAAAGUAUAACGGUCGACUUUGCGCCGUCUAAUUAAAGCAGCAGUCGGGGGAGAGCAGCCUCAAAGAAAAGUCUCAAUAAAUUAGAGAGAGACUCGCCAGCAAGAGUAUCCUACUUUUCGACGUUGUCACGUACACUGUGAUUGUGUACUCGGCCUAACUAGCCGAACUUUCUUGAUUACCAGAUACGCGACGGAUUAAAUAUUCAUGAUGCUUUUACGAGUCGCCCGGCGGCGAGCCGAAGUAUUCUGUCAAUUAAGCAUUUAAAUCAACCGCGCGCGUCCAAGUUUGCAGGAAAUUUUUUAAACUAACUUCCCUCGCGCGCGCGCGCGCGCCGCGUCUGAAAUGCGCCGCGGAGAUUCCCUAAAAAACUCACGAAAACCCAACCGCCGGACAGUUAAAACGUCAUUUUAUUCCGGCGAAGCCAGAAGAUCGCUCGCGCUGCGAAUAAUUUACUCGCGAAACCACUCCGGGGGACCAUUGCCGCAGGUAGGAGACGCAAUUCCCUGCGGGACUCCAACCGGCCAUUGUGUUAGAGCGGGUUGUAGAUUAUAGUGCGAGUUACCCCAAGUCAAAGCCCACAUCCCAAACUCCGUCGUCGAAACUCGCCAGCCUUACUCGUGGACAAUAUGCCACCCGCGAAUAACGUCUAGUCAGAAAAGCUCGUCGGUCCUGUCCGAAUCCGAGUUUCUCUCACUUGUAGGGAUGCGUUCAUAUAUAUGUGUGUGUGUGUGUGCGUGUGUCUCUGUGUGUACGGCAUCGCGCAAUAUUCUACCAUCAGACACUUUGACGAAUUAGCAACCAGCGACUACUUAGACUUUGCGAAAAUUUCAUAGGAUUCUAUGAUAUCAUUUAUAAAUUCACGAUAUUAGACCUGUCGCUAAAUAAGCCGCCAAAUUUAUUAAAUUCUGUUAAAGUUCCUUUGGAAUUAAAUGAGAAAUAAAGUUGCGUUACCCAUUUAUAUCACUGAAGCUUCAAUUUUUAAGCGCUCAAGUUUUUUUCACCUUUUUUUAUUUGUGUGAUCUAAAUGUUUUUAAACUCUUCUCUUAGAGUAAGUUUAAGAACAUGAGACAAAAAUGAAAAAGAGCUUAUUAUUAAACUUAGUAAUUAAAAUUUAGAUUAUAUUAAUUACACAUUUUUAUUUAAACACGUCAACGGUAUAAGUACGGCAAAGAAAUAUAAUCAGAAAUAUAAAGUUAGAUAUUUGCAUAAUUAAGCUGGCGAAAACAAAACUUGUAAGAAACCUUAAUCGAUAUCAGUCAGAAAGCUUUCGAUCCUUUUUGUCAUGUUGUAAUACCUUCGUAUAUCUUGUUAUAUUAUAGUUAUAUAAAUAAAUAACCAUACAUAGUAGAAUACAUAUGACACUCAGUAUACCUUGUAUAUCAAUAAAAGCCGAUUGCACCAACGGGUGCUUGUGAUCAUAGUUAACCAAAGUUUCUUUAUCCAUCGAUAUUACGUCUAAAGAUAUAAUCUAGGAAGGGACUAGGGAAUCGCUAACUAUAAUCUGAUAACACAGCUGUACCAUUCAUUCGUGUUAAUACUACGCAGUGCAUCUAGCACUCCCUUGGGGCUAUGAAGCUUAACCAAGGCUGUCCCCGCAACUCAUCCCAAGAAAUAGACGUUUGCAGUCGAGCCAGCGCAGCAGUCCGGCUAACGCGAGUUAUCGGCAAUCCCGACAAAGCGACGAUACGACCGUGACGUUACCGAUAACCAGCGACGAUUAUCUAUAAUUGUCAGCUCUCUCUCUCUCUCUCUCUCUUUCCCUCUCUUCCCGGGCUGUAAAUUGAACUCUCGGCAACAAGUGCCAAUUACAAAAGGCCGCACGAGAUGCCGUUUACCCGGUUUACGUGUCGGCCGACGUGGUCGGUACCUUAAUCUGGGAUCGAAGAUCGCCCUACCGGAGAGGAAGCGAGGGAGACAGAAUGCCUUCGUGCCGACCUAACCCAAUCUCGCAGAAGGCUGCGAAAUUCGCUUAUGGCAAGUCACGCGAUUCGCCGAUGGAAAUCGCCCGAGGGGCUAAUGCCAUUAAGCGUCGUUUCCUCGACCGGCGCGAUUAAGCGCGGAUUUUUCUGCGCGAACGUGGAUAACGCGCGCGCGCGACGCUCUCCGGGGGAUUUUAAUGGAACGACGAGGGUACCAUCGUCGCGCGUCCCUCACCCGCGAGCCUCUUCUGUCGGACGUGAUCCUAGCUGAGAUAUCCUCUCUCUCUCUCUCUCCUCGCCUUUCGUCGGAUAAAGGAGAAGGAGGAAGAAGUGGAAGAAAGAGAGCGGCGACAGCGACUCAAUCGCGCGGGGAUAGAAGUUUUCACGAUUCAAAGGCUCGACGAUCGGCCGAUACAGAAUUUUUAUCCGCUACUGGGUUUCGGUACCGUAAACCGCAAUAAUGGAACGUGACGAAUUUCACGUUACGACGCAGUCUCGCGCGCGGAAGCGAGCGGGCGACACGUAAAAAAAGCGAUGAAAAUAAAAAGAGAAAAAAGGAGCGGUCGCACAUGGUUUUGUACGAACUCGCGCCCCGGCAACGUGAACACGAGGCACAAAAAACUUCUGUGAUUUUUGAGGGAACAAAGCGCGCGAGCGCCUCCGUGCGUAGCGUUGUUUCGCGAACGAGAACACCGUUCGGUUCAUAGAGAAACGUCGAUGUCGCGAAUAGAAGCUUUGAAGGGAGCUAAUAGCAUCGUUUAGCCCGGGGUGAAAUUUGAAUCAGAGGGGGGGGGAGAGGGGAAUGGGGGAGAAAGCGAAAUUGCCCGGCGAAAGAACGCCGUUCAUCGGCAUUUCAUUCAAUGGAUUGUUCAACUACAAUGGGGAACAAUGUUCAAUUACAGGGCUAGGAUAAGCUGUUCGAACCUGAUGUUGCAUUUUUAGUAAAAAAAAAAUCUAUAAAUAAUAAAAAAUUACAUGUUUCCCAAUAUGUACUUCAAAAUCAAAAGCAUUUUUACAUGACAGUACUUAUCUUUAAAAUUCUGUUCGAAAUAUAUGAAUUCGAAUAUACAUAUCACGUUAAUAUUUGAACAAAAGCUUAAUAAAAUAAAACUACCAACAUCUAAGUAAGAAAAUUAAACAUAUUUUUAUAAAUUUACACAAUGUAUAACGUACAUUAUUUUUAUAUAUAAAAAUUAAGUAAGAACAAUACUCGCAUAAUUUGCUUAGAUUUCGAAUGCGAAAUAACAUACGUAUCUUUCUUUUUAACUAUGUAAAUGUCGCCGACAAUUAAUGUUUUCAGAAAAAGUGCCAAUUUAACAAGAAACUACUGUCAUUUUUUUCAUCUCGGUAAUUUCUUUCUUUCAGAUCUCGUUUCUUCUUUUUUUAAAUCACGGUUUCAGAAGAAACAACUUUUAACAGUUGUAACUUUUUUUUUUGUUGUUACUAAAAGUACGAUACGACAACACGAGCUGACUACAUUCAAUUCAGGAGUCGUUUUACGCGUCGCGCGCGGCGUUCGCCGACCGUUUGAGAGUGCAAACUUCGAAAUCAUCCCGUUCGUUCGCACGGGAUUUCGAACGAGUUCGCGGAAGUUUCAUCGCCGAUUGGGAACGGAAUUGGCGCUCGCUCGUAGAAUCAGCCUCGCCAUUCUCGCGCGCAGCUUGUAUCGCUGUCUAAAGGAAGAAAAUCAGAGUCUUCAAGACCCGGCCGAACGACUUCACAAAACGAUUGCGAAAGAUUAUGCGACAGCUCAAUAAGAAACCCCCUACAGGAAGGAGCCUACGUUUUGCAAACGCAUCGCGAACACGCAACGUGCUCCUCCGGUUGAUUGCAAAACUUCUUGAGCGACGACGUAACUUCAUGUGAGACUCACGGGGGAAAACGAGCGGACGGAUUUUCAAAAAAAAAUAAUAAUACAAUCACGCGUCGGAAAGUUUAUUACAAAACCCUCGCGCAAGAAUAAUAAAAUAAAACGUGCUUCAUCCAAGAGCGACAGUAAAGUAAAAUAACGUUUCAAGAAAAGUAGAAGGGCGAGCGAAAGGCUGACGAGAGACUUUCACAUUUUGAAAACAGCAUUAUUUAUAUAAGUUAACUUUGAUUAAGUUCAACUGACCGGAAUUAAAGUUUUACGGACUUUUGAAUAAAGACGAUCGAAUGAACCGAAUAAUUGUGGAGGUGAUGUGUUGAUAAUGAAUCUUUCGAUGUAUUUGAAAUUGAUUUUUCUUUGACGGUAGCGUCAAAAUGAAAAUUUUAAUUACUUACUUGAUUAUUUAACGUUAAAACGGAAUUCAAUUAAAAUUCUUUCAGCUCUAUCGCACUGUAACGGCGAAAUUCAUUAUUUACUCCAUACAAAGAACGUAUUUGUGAGAUUAGCCACUGUUUAAUCGAAAAGUGUCAUCCCGUUUCCCUGUGUAAUUCCCUGCGACGAGACAGACCAUUCUUUCGCCGCGAUUCCGGCGCGUCUCUCGUGCAAAUUGAAUCUAGAGCUUGAAUUACGCAGAUAACGCGAAAUUACGUUGUCCCGCCGGACCGUCCCGGGCGAGCCUUCAGCGCGCGGGACAUAAAAGUCGAGUACGAAAUUCCGCCACGCGUCUCUCGCCUACGGAUCGCGAACGGAGAGAAUGAGGGAACGAGCGAGCCACGAAACUGCCGUUUAAACGAACAUCCGCGCGGUUUCUCUAGUCGAAUGGCGUUGUCGGGGGAAGGAGAGCGCGCGGAAACGUUACGUAAAUGCACACCGCAUUCCCAGACCCCCUAUCGGCUAUAAAUCUUAUCGGCAUUAAAAUCAGCAUGUACAUCUCCGCGAGACGACGGGAGCUCUCCCGUGGAACGCCUGUCAAUUCCAGCGUCGUCAUUUUCCUGCCUCUCUCUCUCUCUCUCUCUCUCUCUCGCUCUCUCCCUCACGUGAAAAUCGUCAUAAAGUCGCACCCUUCGGAGGCGAGUCGGCUUACGCAUUACAUAGGCACGUACCUUGGUACGUACGUGCGCGGAUCGAUAACUCGCACGUCGUAACUUAUGCCGCGCCUCGUAUCCCGUCAUCCUCGUUCUCGUCGUCGUCGUCGUCGUCGUCGUCGUCGUCGUCGUCGACAUCCUCCUCCCGCUCCUCUACCAUCUCCUCCUCUUCCUCCUCCUUCCGCCUGCUCGUCUCGCGAUCGUGAUCGCGUGAGAGCUUUUCAACGCGGGACACGGCAUUAUUGUGCUGCCGCAGCAGCCACCACUGUCGGUGCACGCGUACAUCAGAUCGUGCGCACGGAAUCCCACCGAAUCAGAAAAUAAUCAUCGCAGCCCCACGGCUCACGUGCGCGAGAGAUAGUCUCACGUUCUCUCAUCGGGGGUAGAGAGAGGUCCGGGCACAAUUUUCACCGUGGUAUUAAAAGUCCGGGCACGUUGCAUCCCCGUCCCGGGGUUGUCGCGCCGUCUGCGAGAAGCUGGUUAGCGACUUUCUUUUCGCCGUUCUUUCCUGCCUCCUCUCCCCUCCCCCCCCCCCCCACUUCUCCGACGUAGGGCUACGACGACAACGAGAACCGUCCGCGCAAAUACAACGGACCCGUAUCUCCGCGACGGUGAUUUGUGUAUCCCAACGCGUACAACGGAAGCCGUGAAUCGCACGCAAAUCCUCCAUCCAUUCACACGCAUCCCGGAAUAAUUCCGAGGUCGUAUCCUACCCAGAUUACAUAUUACUUACGCCAUUAAAUUAUAUUUCUAUUCAACGUCACACGGAUGAUAUAUUUAAUUAAAAAAAAAAAAA